Molecule: ribosomal RNA, 279 nt
Filed under: uncultured bacterium
Lineage: Bacteria
Description: partial 16S ribosomal RNA
Rfam family: Bacterial small subunit ribosomal RNA
Source: RNAcentral
UGCCAGUCGCCGCGGUAACACGGGGGGCGCAAGCGUUAUUCGGAAUUAUUGGGCGUAAAGGGCGCGCAGGCGGUCUUGUCCGUCAGGUGUGAAAUCCCGGGGCUCAACCCCGGAACUGCCUUUGAUACUAUCUUUCUUGAGUCUGUGAGAGGAUGGCGGAAUACCCAGUGUAGAGGUGAAAUUCGUAGAUAUUGGGUAGAACACCGGUGGCGAAGGCGGCCAUCUGGCACAGUACUGACGCUGAGGCGCGAAAGCGUGGGGAGCGAACAGGAUUAGAUA